RNAcentral lists this ribosomal RNA (253 nucleotides) under uncultured bacterium. RNAcentral's name for it is "partial 16S ribosomal RNA". It matches the Rfam family "Bacterial small subunit ribosomal RNA", at positions 524 to 776 of the family's 1533-position model. The record is from RNAcentral.
UACGAGGGGGGCGAGCGUUGUUCGGAAUUAUUGGGCGUAAAGGGCGCGUAGGCGGUGCGGUAAGUCGGAUGUGAAAUCCCGGGGCUCAACCCCGUGACUGCACCCGAAACUGCCCGGCUAGAGGUAGGUAGGGGAGAUCGGAAUUCCUGGUGUAGCGGUGAAAUGCGCAGAUAUCAGGAGGAACACCGGUGGCGAAGGCGGAUCUCUGGGCCUUACCUGACGCUCAGGCGCGAAAGCUAGGGGAGCAAACAGG